Molecule: ribosomal RNA, 104 nt
Filed under: Mustela putorius furo (domestic ferret)
Lineage: Eukaryota; Metazoa; Chordata; Mammalia; Carnivora; Mustelidae
Source: RNAcentral
GUCUACAGCCAUACCACCCUGAACGCGCCCGAUCUCGUCUGAUCUCGGAAGCUAAGCAGGGUCGGGCCUGGUUAGUACUUGGAUGGAAGAGAGGCAUGCUGACU